Alligator sinensis (Chinese alligator) is the source of this 71-nucleotide non-coding RNA. The record is from Rfam. NCBI's taxonomy places the organism in Eukaryota, Metazoa, Chordata, Crocodylia, Alligatoridae.
GCACUGGUGGUUCAAUGGCAGAAUUCCUGCUUGCCAUGCAGGGGACCUGGGUUCAAUUCCCAGCUAGUGCA